Molecule: ribosomal RNA, 254 nt
Filed under: uncultured bacterium
Lineage: Bacteria
Description: partial 16S ribosomal RNA
Rfam family: Bacterial small subunit ribosomal RNA
Source: RNAcentral
UACGUAGGGUGCGAGCGUUAAUCGGAAUUACUGGGCGUAAAGAGUGUGUAGGCGGUGUUCCCAGUCUGUUGUGAAAUCUCCCGGCUUAACUGGGAGGGUGCAGCGGAAACUAGAAUGCUAGAGGGUGGGAGAGGUAAGCGGAAUUCCGUGGUGUAGCGGUGAAAUGCGUAGAUAUCAGGAGGAACACCUGUGGUGUAGACAGCUUACUGGACCACUUCUGACGCUGAGACACGAAAGCGUGGGUAGCAAACAGG